UGGCGGACGGGUGAGUAACGCGUAAAGAACUUGCCCUCUAGACUGGGAUAACAGAGGGAAACUUCUGAUAAUACUGGAUAAGUUAGUAUAUCGCAUGAUAUGCAAAUGAAAGCUACGGCACUAAAGGAGAGCUUUGCGUCCUAUUAGCUAGUUGGUAAGGUAAGAGCUUACCAAGGCGAUGAUAGGUAGCCGGCCUGAGAGGGUGGACGGCCACAAGGGGACUGAGAUACGGCCCUUACUCCUACGGGAGGCAGCAGCC
Molecule: ribosomal RNA, 259 nt
Filed under: uncultured Leptotrichia sp.
Lineage: Bacteria; Fusobacteriati; Fusobacteriota; Fusobacteriia; Fusobacteriales; Leptotrichiaceae
Description: partial 16S ribosomal RNA
Rfam family: Bacterial small subunit ribosomal RNA
Source: RNAcentral